This 254-nucleotide ribosomal RNA is filed under the name uncultured bacterium. RNAcentral's name for it is "partial 16S ribosomal RNA". It matches the Rfam family "Bacterial small subunit ribosomal RNA", at positions 524 to 776 of the family's 1533-position model. The record is from RNAcentral.
UACGAAGGGGGCUAGCGUUGCUCGGAAUCACUGGGCGUAAAGGGUGCGUAGGCGGGUCUUUUAAGUCAGGGGUGAAAUCCUGGAGCUCAACCCCAGAACUGCCUUUGAUACUGAGGAUCUUGAGUUCGGGAGAGGUGAGUGGAACUGCGAGUGUAGAGGUGAAAUUCGUAGAUAUUCGCAAGAACACCAGUGGCGAAGGCGGCUCACUGGCCCGAUACUGACGCUGAGGCACGAAAGCGUGGGGAGCAAACAGG